AACGCAAGUUGCGCCCGAAGCCAUUAGGCCGAGGGCACGCCUGCCUGGGCGUCUCGCAUCGCGUCGCCCCCCACCCUGUGCCCGCAAAGGGUUCGUGGGUCGAUGGGGGCGGAUUUUGGCCCCCCGUGUGCGCUAGUGCGCGGUCGGCGUAAAUAUAAGUCCCGGGUGACAAACGUCACGGCGAGUGGUGGAUGUCAUACCCUUGCGUCGCGUCGUGCACGUCUUGAGACCCCGGGUUGUUUUGUUUUUGAUCCUCGAGCACCGUUUUUGCGGAGCCUUGACCGCGACCCCAGGUCAGGCGGGAUUACCCGCUGAGUUUAA
RNAcentral lists this unclassified non-coding RNA (321 nucleotides) under uncultured soil eukaryote. Its description in RNAcentral is "sequence contains 5.8S rRNA gene, ITS2, 28S rRNA gene". The record is from RNAcentral.